RNAcentral lists this ribosomal RNA (448 nucleotides) under uncultured bacterium. RNAcentral describes it as "bacterial SSU rRNA". It matches the Rfam family "Bacterial small subunit ribosomal RNA", at positions 330 to 792 of the family's 1533-position model. The record is from RNAcentral.
ACCAGACUCCUACGGGAGGCAGCAGUGGGGAAUAUUGCACAAUGGGGGAAACCCUGAUGCAGCGACGCCGCGUGAAGGAAGAAGUAUUUCGGUAUGUAAACUUCUUUUAUCAGGGACGAAGCAAGUGACGGUACCUGAUGAAUAAGCCACGGCUAACUACGUGCCAGCAGCCGCGGUAAUACGUAGGUGGCAAGCGUUAUCCGGAUUUACUGGGUGUAAAGGGCGUGUAGGCGGGAGUGCAAGUCAGAUGUGAAAACUAUGGGCUCAACCCAUAGCCUGCAUUUGAAACUGUACUUCUUGAGUGCUGGAGAGGCAAUCGGAAUUCCGUGUGUAGCGGUGAAAUGCGUAGAUAUACGGAGGAACACCAGUGGCGAAGGCGGAUUGCUGGACAGUAACUGACGCUGAGGCGCGAAAGCGUGGGGAGCAAACAGGAUUAGAUCCCCCAGUA